This 345-nucleotide unclassified non-coding RNA is filed under the name soil metagenome. Its description in RNAcentral is "partial contains 5.8S ribosomal RNA, internal transcribed spacer 2, and large subunit ribosomal RNA". The stretch from base 1 to 119 matches the Rfam family "5.8S ribosomal RNA", at positions 35 to 154 of the family's 154-position model. The record is from RNAcentral.
GAUGAAGAACGUAGCGAAAUGCGAUACGUAAUGUGAAUUGCAAAUUCAGUGAAUCAUCGAGUCUUUGAACGCACAUUGCGCCCCCUGGUAUUCCGGGGGGCAUGCCUGUCCGAGCGUCAUUGCUGCCCUCAAGCACGGCUUGUGUGUUGGGCCCCGUCCUCCGAUCCCGGGGGACGGGCCCGAAAGGUAGCGGCGGCACCGCGUCCGGUCCUCGAGCGUAUGGGGCUUUGUCACCCGCUCUGUAGGCCCGGCCGGCGCUUGCCGAUCAACCCAAAUUUUUAUCCAGGUUGACCUCGGAUCAGGUAGGGAUACCCGCUGAACUUAAGCAUAUCAAUAAGCGGAGGA